Molecule: small RNA, 593 nt
Filed under: Pongo abelii (Sumatran orangutan)
Lineage: Eukaryota; Metazoa; Chordata; Mammalia; Primates; Hominidae
Description: processed transcript
Source: RNAcentral
UUCCUGGAGACAGACUCCUUUUGGUGCUGGCUCCUUCUAUUUGCCCCCACCACCGCCCCCCACCUGCCUCUACUCACUCAGUGCCCCUCCUCCAUCCCUCUGUCUCUGUCCUUCGCUGUCCCUUUCUAUUGUCUCCCUUUUUCUGCCCUCCUGUCCUCCGGGUUCCCCACCCAGGCCCUCUCAGCCUGGCUGGGCCCUUCUCCUUGUGUUGCCUUCCCGGCUGUGGGCUCAGGAUCCUUCCACUUGUUCAGAUCUUUGCCCUUCACCUGCCAUCCUGUCCCCCAGCCUCCUUGCCUGUCUGCAUCUAAAGCCCCUGCCCAGAGUCUGCCUUCUCAGGUCCAGUACUCCCAAUUCACCUGCCCUCGGGAGCCCUCCUUCCUUCGGAAAACUCCCAGCUCUGACUCCUCCUCAGCCCCUCCCCCCGCCCUGCUCACCUUUAAUUGAGAUGCUAAUGAGACUCCUGUCGCUUCCAUCCCUGGCGGGCCGGCGGGCGGGUUCCCCAUCCAGGCCGCUGCACCUGUCAGGGGAGCAAGCUGGAGGAGCAGGACCCUAGACCUCUGCAGCCCACACCAGGGGUCAUGGAGGGGAACAAG